GUCAAGUUCGACCUUAGAGGCAACAGUCCCUUCACCAAGAAACUUCUUUUCCAAAAAGAUUGCCUUAAGGCUGACAAACACUUUUUGCUCAUCAGCUAGGUAGAAGUAAUAUCCUUUGGUCUCUUUUGGGUACCCUAUAAAAUUAUACUUGUCAGACCUAGGUCCAAGCUUGUCCGUAAUUAAAUAUUUCACAUAAGUUGG
Molecule: long non-coding RNA, 201 nt
Filed under: Elaeis guineensis (African oil palm)
Lineage: Eukaryota; Viridiplantae; Streptophyta; Magnoliopsida; Arecales; Arecaceae
Description: long non-coding RNA (EGUI_LNC043084)
Source: RNAcentral